GACGAACGCUGGCGGCGUGCUUAACACAUGCAAGUCGAACGGUGAAGCUCCAGCUUGCUGGAGUGGAUCAGUGGCGAACGGGUGAGUAACACGUGAGCAACCUGCCCCUGACUCUGGAAUAAGCGCUGGAAACGGCGUCUAAUACUGGAUACGAGAAGGGUCCGCAUGGGCACUUUCUGGAAAGUUUUUCGGUUGGGGAUGGGCUCGCGGCCUAUCAGCUUGUUGGUGAGGUAAUGGCUCACCAAGGCGACGACGGGUAGCCGGCCUGAGAGGGCGAACGGCCACACUGGGACUGAGACACGGACCAGACUCCUACGGGAGGCAGCAGUGGGGAAUAUUGCACAAUGGGCGAAAGCCUGAUGCAGCGACGCCGCGUGAGGGAUGACGGCCUUCGGGUUGUAAACCUCUUUCAGCAGGGAAGAAGCGAAAGUGACGGUACCUGCAGAAGAAGCACCGGCUAACUACGUG
RNAcentral lists this ribosomal RNA (468 nucleotides) under uncultured bacterium. RNAcentral describes it as "partial 16S ribosomal RNA". It matches the Rfam family "Bacterial small subunit ribosomal RNA", at positions 28 to 507 of the family's 1533-position model. The record is from RNAcentral.